This 468-nucleotide ribosomal RNA is filed under the name uncultured bacterium. Its description in RNAcentral is "partial 16S ribosomal RNA". It matches the Rfam family "Bacterial small subunit ribosomal RNA", at positions 28 to 507 of the family's 1533-position model. The record is from RNAcentral.
GACGAACGCUGGCGGCGGGCUUAACACAUGCAAGUCGAGCGGAAAGGCCGUGCUUUUGUGUGGUUCUCGAGUGGCGAAGGGGUGAGUAACACGUGAGUAACCUUCCCUUGACUUGGGGAUAACUUCAGGAAACUGGGGCUAAUACCGGCGAGGAGCUCCUGCUGCAUGGUGGGGGUUGGAACGUUUGCGCUGUGGGGGAUGGACUCGGGGGUUAUCAGCUUGUUGGUGGGGGAGUGGCUUACCAAGGGUUUGGCGGGUAGCCGGCCUGAGAGGGUGACCGGCGACAUUGGGACUGAGAUACGGCCCAGACUGCUACGGGAGGCAGCAGGGGGGAAUAUUGCACAAUGGGCGGAAGGCUGAUGCAGCAACGCCGCGUGCGGGAUAACGGCCUUCGUGUUGUAAACCGCUUUCGCCUGUGACGAAGCGUGAGUGACGGUAAUGGGUAAAGAAGCACCGGCUAACUACGUG